This is a long non-coding RNA of Mauremys mutica (yellowpond turtle), 1140 nucleotides long. RefSeq lists it as uncharacterized. The transcript has 3 exons. The record is from RefSeq and is a predicted model, not a curated record. Lineage: Eukaryota; Metazoa; Chordata; Testudines; Geoemydidae.
ACUUUGGAGAAACUUUGUUUUGGCGGGAGCAACUCAGGAGCCUGUCCAUGAUCUACUCAGACUAAAACGUGGGUCUAUCUGUCCAAACAGCCUCAAACCAGCUCAGUGUGCCCCGAGAGAGACCAACAAGAGAGGCCAAGGAGAUAGAGUCUUCCUCUCUCCAUCCCCAGUUGUAUUGCCCAGAUGCCAUGGUGAUAGAGCCUUGACGGACUCACUGCAGUGCUCACUUCAUUCCCUCCAAGGAGGUCCUGGUCACCAGGAUGACUAGCAGCUGGUCAGUCUGUGCAGCAACUGGCAACCUAUCGGUGGUUCAGGGGAGGCAGACAGAGAGCCGGGGGCGGAAACGGAGGGGAAGUGACCUGCGCAGGGUCCCAGGCAUGACGCGAACACGGCUCGGCAAAGUCACAGGCCAAUGCCCCAGCCACUGGACCACACUGCCUUGCCGCAAGACACGGUGACGUAAGGCCCAGCCUCCAGCACCACCAUUAACCAAGCUGGAGUGAGAGCGGCUCUGGAAGAAAACAAGGGCUUUGAUUCUCUCUCUCCCAUCCAGACAAAGAGGCGCGGAGUCAUAAAGCUUCACUUUCAGCCCCUCUCCAGCAGACCUGCGCGUUCAGUUGCUGGAGACAGCAGCGGAACCGCAAAGCUAUUGUCUUGGCUUGUUAGAUCAAAUGUGAAGCCACAGGUACGAACAGCCUGCGCUGGGCAGGGGGAGGGGAAGACAGGAAGCUGAAUCUGUGGCAGAGCAGUUUGAAGAGGGGGUUGUUGCCGGGGCAUAGGGCAGAUAGCCCAAGCCCAGCACAGAGCCAUUUCCAUCUACACUUGUAACAGCACUAAUGAGCCAUCGGCAGCCUCAUCACAGCGCAGGCUCUGGCAGCUUGCAUUCCUCAGGCUGGUAAUUCAACGGCAGCUAAUUUGGUGUGUUGGAAUUAACUGCACUGUGCAUGAGGCUCUCAGGAUAUCCUGGGUUGGGACUCUGCCCCUGGAGAGAAUCCCUGCAGAGCAUAGUGCAAAGCGAUGGAGGGAAAUCUAAGAUGCUCACAAGAGACAGGACAAGAGCAAAUGCUUAAACCUCUACAGUUAAGCUCUCUUACCCAGCAGAGAUGCGAACGUUGAGCUCUGGCCAGAUUCCAGCUGAUA